AGAACCGAUUCAAUGACGGCUGUCAAAUCUAAUUUGCAAAACAUAGUCGCCUGUAUCUUAGUUAGCUAAGAGUUUUUAUUUUUUAAUCUUCGCAGAAAAUGUCAGAUUGCGGUUGAUGAAAAAUGGAAAUACAUUAUUCGCAUGAAAUACAGAAUGGAAAAUUCACAAUCGAUCGGAAUAACCUAACUGACUUGAUUCCAGUCAAUAAAGUACUACUAGAGUCUUGUGCUACCCUGAUACUAUGUACAGUAAAGGUUCAAGUUUAAAGAAUACGCGUAUCUGGAAUUCGAAACUCUUCGACUAUACUUCAAGACCGGCCGCACUGUAAACAGGUGAGGUGAUUCCCAAAUGUUUGAUCACCAACAAAAAUCCUCCGUUAAAAAAGAAGCACGUACAUAUUUAUCGAUCAAAUCGAACUCUAACAAGUUUUUUCAGAAGCCCAUUCGAUAGUAAAGAAAACAAAAGCGACAGUACUCGAUGUUGAAAUUAUCAUGAUUUGUCACUCAGGUGAUUUGCUUUCAUCACUACACUGAAAUAAAAAUCAUUUUUAUAUUCAUUAGAUUCGUCAUAUGAAUCGUAUGCAUCGUAUAACUCAUUGAAGCCAA
Molecule: long non-coding RNA, 605 nt
Organism: Malaya genurostris
Lineage: Eukaryota; Metazoa; Arthropoda; Insecta; Diptera; Culicidae
Exons: 3
Source: RefSeq, a predicted model, not a curated record